This 83-nucleotide transfer RNA is filed under the name Candidatus Campbelliibacteriota bacterium. RNAcentral describes it as "Candidatus Campbellbacteria bacterium tRNA-Tyr". It matches the Rfam family "tRNA". From Rfam's summary of the family: Transfer RNA (tRNA) molecules are approximately 80 nucleotides in length. Their secondary structure includes four short double-helical elements and three loops (D, anti-codon, and T loops). The record is from RNAcentral. Lineage: Bacteria; Candidatus Campbelliibacteriota.
GCGUCGGUGGCAGAGUGGUCAAUUGCAACGGACUGUAAAUCCGUCGCCGUAAGGCUUCAGAGGUUCGAAUCCUCUCCGGCGCA